CCUGCUAGGGCAGGUUUACAACUGAUGUCUUACACCCACUCCAGGAAACAAACCUGGGUAGGGACUGACGUGUUACGCCUCUUCUAAUGACAUUUUUUUUCUUUCCACCUCCUUUUCUUUGCCGUGUAACACAGAGGAGAAGCCCCCUGAAACGCACGCCACCUAUCUUCACGGGAGGGGAUAAUUGAGGAGAGCCAAACGUGAGCAUCUUCUGGGUUGAAGUUUUUUUUUUCUCUCUCCUUUCCUCCCUCUCUCCUUCCUUUCUCCCCCCUCCGCUCCUCUCUCCUUUUCUUUGCCUCACUCUCCUCUCUCUUUCACCAUCUCCUCGCUUUUUGAGUGAAACCAACUAUGUCGGGCUUCGACGCGGAGCAAAAGAACAGAACAGGCGACAGUGUGUGUGUGUGUGUGUGUGUGUGUGCGUGUGUGUGUGUAUAUGUUGUGUGUUGUUUUUUUCGUCCUCUUUCUUCUGUGUAUGUGUGUGUGGGGGAGAAACUUGGAGCGCGUCCACGCCGGCCGCAAUCAUCUCUGCAACAUCAAACUCAACAUCUCUCGACGGGGUUUGGCUCUCUGAUAGCCACCGCAAGAGCCUCGACACCACAACAGCUCCAGAGAUUGACGGACAAUUAAAGACCGAGAGGCGAAGGCUCGAGCGUGUGAUCUGCGAGAACUCCUCAAACAUGCAAAAUGAAUUUAGUUUACAUUUGCCACGAGCAACACAGAAAGAGAGUGAGGAGAGGGGGGAAAAACUGCUCUUUUCUGAGCAUUUCUGAUCUGUCUCAGUCGAACAAGAAAAAGCUCGCGGAGAGGACAAGAUCGCUGCAUAGCAGAUUGCUGCAGAAACAAAUGCUCGCACCAAAAAAGUAUUGAUUUUUUAUGUUGUUCUUGUUAGCUGGAGCAGAGGCUUCUACAAAUGACCACUUAUCCGACUGAGACGCUCACAAAAAAGACAAACAUAUCAUGCGUUUUUUUUUUCUCCUGUGGAAAGAGGUCAGAUGUUUUGUGGCUUCCAAAAACAACAGACUGGGAUAGACAACUGAAUAAAAAAACUUUUUCUUUUUAGCAACACCAAACACACAAAUGAUACCUUUUAUUUAUCUUGCACUGUGCAUGCACACAUAUACAGAUAUAUUUUUGCUAUUUACACCCUAAAGAUGAACCUUAUUUCUGUCAAAGCACUCUUUCCCCAAAGUCACGACUGCGGUUUUCAUGCUGAGUUAAUGUUUUACAUCAUCACUUGCAGUCAAAUCUAUAUGUAAAUGUGCACAUCAGUCCACGUACAUGUUCUGCAGCAAAUUACUUUUCAACAGAUGUAAUUAGGCAUGUGUAUUUAUCGGCAGACCGGCUGCACAUUCAGACGCAAAUUAUGAGAAAAGGAUUGCAGGAGUUUAUAAAGAAAACCCGUAUUGAUUGCUGACAUGAAAGUGAAGCUGCGUCAGUGUCGUCGAGCUUUACUCAGAGCUCAAUGUUUAGCUGCAUUUUGCCAACAAGUCCAUCGACAGCUGAAGAUAAUGCAACCACAUCAACACCCCUGCAGUUAAAUCUUCCUCUAUUAAUGUUAAAAUGAUCGCUUUAUUGUUUAAGAGAACUUCUGAUUUUACUUUGUUGUUAUACUUUGGAUGCUGCAGCUAGUAAUAGUGUGAUAUUGUAAUGUGUUAUAAGGUAAAUAAGAAAAAUAUUACAUUUAAAGCACUGAGGACUACA
Long non-coding RNA from Acanthochromis polyacanthus (spiny chromis), 1701 nucleotides. RefSeq lists it as uncharacterized. Lineage: Eukaryota; Metazoa; Chordata; Actinopteri; Pomacentridae. The record is from RefSeq and is a predicted model, not a curated record. The transcript is spliced from 2 exons.